Molecule: unclassified non-coding RNA, 354 nt
Filed under: Hevea brasiliensis (rubber tree)
Lineage: Eukaryota; Viridiplantae; Streptophyta; Magnoliopsida; Malpighiales; Euphorbiaceae
Source: RNAcentral
AAGCAAGAUGAUGACUUCCUUGAGGGGAAACUGUGGGGGGAGCCAUGGCAAUCAUGUUGCUUGGACCUUGACCUGGCUGGUUGUUCCAUGGUGACUGUGACCAUCCAGGGGGGUUCCCAGCUGGGUUCAAUGGUCGAUCUGGAUAUGCUGUAGGAGGGACAGACUGAGGCAAUGAAGACAUUGCUGGUCUGACAACUUGCGGAAACCCUGUUGGAUUUGGUUGGCCCUGAGAAAAUUGAGGUGGAGUCAUAUUGGAUUGAGGUGGUGUAGACCCUAAAGAUGGUAUAGGAUGUCUAAGUCCACCAAUUUGUCCAACAUGAGAGGAAGGCAUAUAUGGCUGCUGCAUUAGUGGUG